RNAcentral lists this ribosomal RNA (481 nucleotides) under uncultured bacterium. Its description in RNAcentral is "bacterial SSU rRNA". It matches the Rfam family "Bacterial small subunit ribosomal RNA", at positions 30 to 507 of the family's 1533-position model. The record is from RNAcentral.
UGAACGCUAGCGGCAGGCUUAAUACAUGCAAGUCGUGGGGCAGCAUGAGUAGCAAUACUUGAUGGCGACCGGCAACGGUGAGGAACACGUACACAACCUUCCUUCAAGCGGGGAAUAGCCCAGAGAAAUUUGGAUUAAUACCCCAUAAUAUAUUUGAUAAGGCAUCUUAUUAAUAUUAAAGCUUCGGCACUUGAUGAUGGGUGUGCGGCUGAUUAGAUAGUUGGCGGGGUAACGGCCCACCAAGUCUACGAUCAGUAGCUGAUGUGAGAGCAUGAUCAGCCACACGGGCACUGAGACACGGGCCCGACUCCUACGGGAGGCAGCAGUAAGGAAUAUUGGACAAUGGACGAAAGUCUGAUCCAGCCAUGCCGCGUGAAGGAUUAAGGUCCUCUGGAUUGUAAACUUCUUUUAUAUGGGACGAAAAAAGGGCAUUCUUGUUCACUUGACGGUACCAUAUGAAUAAGCACCGGCUAACUCCGUG